This 63-nucleotide transfer RNA is filed under the name Trichophthalma punctata. RNAcentral's name for it is "tRNA-His". The record is from RNAcentral. Lineage: Eukaryota; Metazoa; Arthropoda; Insecta; Diptera; Nemestrinidae.
AUCUAAGUAGUUUAUAAAAAUAUUGAUUUGUGAUGUCAAAGAUAUGAUGUUUCAUUUUAGAUC